AGGGGCCCGUGGGCGCGCGUGUGUGUGCGCUCGGCCCGGAGCGCGGCGGUCUGCUGAGGGUGCUUGUGUGCUCGCGCGUUGGGUGCUCGGCCCCGGGGAGCGACGGCGGGAGCCUGACUCCGCGCGCCCGGCCGGCUCAGGCGGGACUUGCGCCGCAGCCGCCACCGCCUCGCGUCCCCUGAGGGCCGCUGUCGUGCUGCGGAGAGCGCCGGGGCGGGCGGGCGGACGCCGCGGGGGCUGCGAGCGGCUGUUCUUAAAAUGAAGAAGUUUAAUUUCCGAAAAGUUUUGGAUGGCUUGACUGCCUCCUCACCAGGCAGUGGCAGCAGCAGUGGCAGUAACAGCGGUGGGACUGGUAGUGGUCCCUUGCAUCCAGGAGGGACAGCUGGAGUUCUGAGAGAGGAGAUUCAGGAAACCUUGACUUCAGAAUAUUUCCAGAUUUGUAAGGAAUACCAGGUUGAAUCAAUAAUCAAAAUUGCUACACAUAUUUUUUGUGAGUGGAACAUCUAUACUUGUGUGAGCUGUUCACUGAGAAUCUGUAACCCACAGGACAGGCUGAGAGGUCAGCUAGGAAACAGCAGAAAACAGAAGACAAGACUGCAGUGAUAGAAAAAGAUGGAUAUCAAGCCAAAUGCAACAUCACUGCGUGCUGUCGGGCAACAGCAAAGGAUCCUGUGCACACAAAAAGAAAGUUGCACAAUAUGAAGGAAGCAGUAAAAAUGAAAUGAAGUAGAAGAGACAUGCAGAAAGAAAAAUGCUCUCGGAUGUGUCACAAUCAUCUUGAUUCUUUACCUGGAAAACCUGUAUUUUUUCCCUUGUAAUUAUCUAAUAUACUUUGUGUCAAAGAACAAGGACCUGAGUUCCACUUAAAGAAGAUGAAGUUAACAGAUACCUUUUUCGGGUUUUAUCAUGAAAUUAGAAAUGAAGAUUUUCAGUUUCUGGUAGUCAUGAACAGAGAGCCUCAGCCUGAAAAGACCAGCUUUCAGAUUCCCAAAGAAAUUGCAAACACAUCUUUAAAAAAAAAAUUAUGGAGAUCAAACUCAAAGACCCUCUACUUUGGCUAUUGGCACACAUUUCAUUCCUGGAGAUGGUUAGAAUAUGGUGUUUCUAAAAUAGAAGGACUUAUCUUUCCUCCUCUACUUUGGAACUAAGAUGAGUACGGUGAAUAAAGCCAGUUUGGAUGAUUGAGCUCAUAAUUUUUAACUAAUGUCCACACUCAUAGUGUUUAAUUAGGGGAUCGAACUCAUGACUGCCUGCUUGCAAGGCAGGCGCUUAUGCCGCUGAGCUAAAUCCGCAGCCCCGAAAUAAUGAUUCUUGAGAAACAAUUUCCCAACAUAAUUCAAAUAGUGAAUAAGCAACAAGAAAAAAAUGAAUACAUGAAAAUAUAUUUAAGAUAUUCAGUUAUUUAAUCCUCUUCUGAAUAAAAUUUAGAGUCACAAUAGGAAAGAAGCAUAGAUUAGAAUUUAUUAAUUUUUCAACCACUAUUUUAAAAAGAUUUGAAAAACUUGUUGCUAAUUAGGAAAGUAAGUGAUCUCUCUCUGUCUCUCUCCAUCUCUGUAUAUAUAUAUAUAUAUAUAUAUAUAUAUAUAUAUAUAUAUGUAUUUAUAUAUAUACUAUAUAUAUUUAUACAUAUACAUAUAUAUUUACCUAUAGAUAGGUAAUAGAUAUGCUAGCUUACAUAUCAUAUAUGUGUGUUCAUAUUUAUCCCUGAAUUCAAAAUUAUCCCAAAUUGAUAAAAAUAUAAGAUAAAAAGAGCUGUUCCUCAAAAAUGAAAAAGAAUCAAAUUACCAGUUGACACAUACUAAAUUCAUUUUUAUUACCUUUCAAAUAACAUUGAAAAUUUGGGCUCGUCUCCCUGCAUUAAGUGCUAUGCUGGUCAUGUGUAUAACUACAGGCUGAUAAAAUUAUCCACUUGGUUUAUGACAAUUUCUUUUAAUUGCUUGUUAAUGUGACAUAAUUUUAGCUAGCUCUUUCAUUGCCAUUAAGCAAUGCAUCCUGUAAUCAUCAAUGUGCAAAUAUUUAUGUGUUACAUGUGACAUAGUUUGGAUUUAGAAUGCCUCAGAAAAGUUUAUGUUCUAAAGACAUGUUCCCACCAUAAAGUAUUGUUGAAAGGUGAUGGAAGCUUUAGAAUUUGAGGACUGAUGGAAAUAGGCCACUGAGGAUAUAAUGGACCCUGAUACAUCCCCCAGCUUACCGCCAUAAGGUUAGUGGCUUUGCUCCUUAUACAUGCCCUUCCAUGGCGCUCUGCCUCCCCAUACACCCAGAAAAAGAUUAGCCAAAUGAGUAUGGAUUAAAACCUCCAAAGCCAUAAGAUAAAAAUUUUAUUUCUUUGAGUUGUCUCUGUCAGGUAUUUUGUCACAGUGAUAGAAAGUUGCAACAUAUGAUGAAAGUCAAUGGAAUAUUUGUAUGUUUUUAUUGAAUUCCAUAAUACAGCCCUCUUUUUCUUUGCAACUAUUCUCCAGAAAUUCUCUAGAAUUUCUCUAGAAUUCUAGAAAUUCUCUAGAAAAUCAUAGAAGAAAUACAAAAUGAUAUUUUUGUAAACAUCAUUUAUCACAUUUGGUAAACUGAUUCAGAGAAUAUAAAAUGUAUGGCAGACACAUCCAGUUGAUUGUCUAAUAGCCAUUCUUUCAUCUCUUUCCUGGUAGUAAAAAUUUUACUCCCCGCCCCAGGUAUUGUGUUUCAUAAGCUCCUUCGGAGCUAUGGAAGAAGAACAGAGUGGGUGACAUAAAUGUUGUGCAAUCCACUCUUUAAGUGUGGGAAUGUAAUGCCACCAUAGCUAACUUGAAAAUAAUAUUUAAUAUAAUUUCUCACUAUAUAUGAUUGUCUUUUUUUCUAGUAAUGAAUGUGAAAGUAUGUGACACAUUGUCAGGUACUCAUAAUGCCAUUCUGAAGGUGGCUAUAAACAUACUGGGAAAAUAACUUAAGUAUUUGGAUAUUUUAUAUUGAUGUGGUUUUCACUUUCCUGAAAAUGCACAGCCUGUAAAUAUCAUGUCAUGUGAGUUAAUAUUCAUUUUAUUGUUUGUAUUAGCUACAUCAAAGAGAACAAAACUGACAUAAAACUGUAAAUCUGUGAAAAAACAAAGAAUUGCUUACCACUAUGAAACAUUUUGCUUCUCUUAAAAUACUAAGAAUGGCACCAAAGAAUAUUAUUUUGAUAUGGAAGACAAAUCUAGGCAUGAUGAUAAAUAUGCACACUUAUGCAUAGCAUAUGUAACAUUUGUCUAUGCCUAUUAAUGUCUAUGCACUUAAGAAAUACACUUUUUAUGCAUGCAGGUAUAUGAUAUAUCUUUAGAGCACAGACAAACUUUUGCAGACACAUGCACUAAACGAACAACCAUUAUAAGUAUAGAAAGGGUCACAAGGACUAGGAUGUAGAUUUCCUGAAAGUUUUCUAUAUAAUAAUGUGCAACUUAAAAAUAUUUAUUGCAUAUACUGAAUAUGUGCCAUAUGAGCAUGCAUUUAAUUAUUAAACAUUAAUAUAAAAAUUUAAUCAAUACAAAUAUGAAUGCAAACAUUAUCAAAUUAAUAAAGCUAAUUAUGCAAGUGUACAAUAAUGCUGCACAAUAUAUAAAAUUGAAUAUGUUGUUUAAGAAUGAUAAACAUAUGAGCACUUAGCUAGAUUAUUACUUCUAUUAGAUUGUAGUAGAUUGCACACUAUCAAAUAGUAAAGGUAAAGAAUAGGAUAAGAAGAGAAACUGCUGCAUAGGCCACGUGGAAGAGGUUUCUAGUCUCAUCCAUAUGAUUUUUACAUGUUUCAUGUCUGAGUUAUCAGGAAAGAGAAGGUCCACUUGCCUCCCAGGAAUCCAUCAAACACUGUCAGUCAUAGUCUCUUACUUCAUAUUCCAAAUUUAAAUGCCCUGAGCAAUCUUUAUCCUUAAUAGUUGAAAAGUUCAGGGUUAGCAUAAGAAGGAAGUGAGCACUAUAAUGAUUUAGGUACCCUUUGAUGUACUAAAGUGCUAAUUUACCAGAUGGUACCCUAGAGUUUUAAUACAUUUCUGGAGGUGCCUAAUUAAUCCCAUAUUAUAGCAAUUAACAAUAAAAUACUACUUUGCUUCCAUAAAUUUUGGAGUGAAUUUUGUUAACAAUUUCAGUGAAAUAACCUAUAUUUUAUCAUUGCUUUACAUUUUUAAACACUGUUAAUCUAUUCAUAGGACUUUGUUGAUUCAUUUUUCAAGCUACUAAGUUAAUAUUAUUAAAUUAUGGAAGAAAAUGAAUCAUUACUAGCCUCAUGUUCAUUAUAUGACCUUACAGCUAAAUUGAAUCCCGGCAGUUCAGAUAAUAAGCCUAUUUUAAGAUGGCCUAAUACAAUAUGAAUUGUGCUAUAACUUGUUUCUGAAAAUUGCACAUGGGUUGAUUAGAAUAUGGGUUAGAAUGGUGUGACUUGUGCUAGACUAAAUCAUAAAUUUUAGUUAGGGUAAAAAAUAAAAACAAAGUAUGAAUUUGUAAUAAGAGUGGUGCGUAAAAUUACAAUUAAGUUGUGUCUAAUGAUUAAACUAGUAGAUAUAAUUAUAAAGUUAAAUUAAUACAACCAUAAUACUGAAUGUAUUAAUAAUAUAUUUGGUACUAUGAAGAUGCUAUUUUACUUUGAUAAAAUUUUAGAUGUGAGAGUUUUCUGUGCAUCAGAAUUGCUCCAAUUGACCUUUUUAAAAAAGUGAAUUAUGAACACUAAAGUAUCAGGGCCUUGAAAUGUUAACUUAUAAAGUAGUUUCAAUUCUUACGGUUGACUUUGGUAAACUACUUAUUAAUUUAAUUCAGUUUUUCUCUGUAAUAUACUCUUCAUCACAGUUAAUACCAACUUUCUAUCACUCUAUACAGUUCUGAAGUUGUGAGACCAUGACAGCCCACAAGAUUGUUAAUUUAGUUCUUUAACAUCUCUCUCACCUAUAUGUGCCAUUGCCUGUUGACAUGACACCUCCCUUGGAGCCAGCCAAUUACAGACUCAAAUCUUUUAACUGUGGGCUAAAGGUAUGUUUCCUCCUUUAUUUGGCUGCUGAGUAUUUUCUCUCAGCAACAAGAACAGUAACUAAGACACUAAUGAGCAGGUUUAAAUUAAUACUGAUUUAUAGAUACAGAAAUGCACAUUCGCACAUUACAUGCAUACCUUGUAAAAUAAAGAAAAGAUGUGAUCUAGGUCAUUCUCAUCUGAAUCCCUGCCAUCCCCUUAAAUGUGUCACUCAUGGCUUGCCAUUGUUAUAGGAUUCCAGGGCAUUCAGUUCGCACAGUUCAAGGAGAUCAUUAAGCUUAGUCCCCUUCAGUUUGCAAGCUCUUCCUCAAGAGUUCAAGUUUCACUACUUCCCUUCUUUACCCUUCUUCAGCAUCCUCAGAGGUUGGAUCCUUCAUCUCUGCUCUAACCUCAAUCCGCAUAAUAAUACAUUGCUGAAGCUUAUAAAUUUCUUUGAAUUUGUUUUCCCCACAGACACAAAAUGCCCUCUUUUGCCUCUCUCACCUAAUUAUAUGUCUUCUCCAUCAAAUCUUAAUGUUUUAGGAACAUAUCUAUAUCAAAUAUUCCUACACUUUGUGGUGACAUGUGUCUCUGCUGGGCUGCUAGGGGUCCUUAAACAAGUCUGUGCCGUAGUUGUCUGCACAAUGUCACUGUUUGGAGCCUCCUGUGUCCGUGUGUGCAUGUGUGCAUGCACGUGUGUGUAUGUGUGUGUGUGUAAACAAUGUUGAAUGAUUAAAUGGACCAUGGUUUUGUCAAGAAAUAUGACAUAUAUUUAUUAAUGACAAUAGAAGUGGAUAUAAUAAUAAGAAUAGCUCAAUAAGAAUUGAUUUUAAAACAUUGUGUCAUAUAGAAGUUAACUACAAUGCCCUCACUUUAGCUACUUUUAUUACUCUUCUUCUUUGUGGAGACAAAAAUAACUUUUGAUCAAACUUAAAAAUCAUAAUUAAAUCACUUUGAGUAGCUGUCUCCUCAGAAAGUUUUUUCAAAUCAUUAUGUAAGCCUUACUAAUGCAAAAGGAAUAACAAUAUAUAUUUGAAGUUUCAAAUAUUAUUUGGUAAAAUAAAUCAUUUUCAUCAUUAAGAUCACAGGCCCCAUAUGUGUUUAUUUCUAAUCAGUUUUAUUUUAAUUGAGUUUAUCUGAAAUCUAUCUUCUUAUUCUUAAUAGUGUAUUGAAUUUUUCAUCUGCCAUUUGACCUGUUACCAAAGAAAAUAUAUCUGCUUGCUCACCUAUGAAUUUAAUAUUAAAAUUUGUCACAACAGUAAAUUUUAACAGAGAUUUGAGAGUUAAGAAGAAAUGGUGAAAUACAGUUUGAGGGCAAAUCCUUAAAAUGAAGACUUUCCAGUGACCUUUUAUUGAUAUAUUGUAAUUCCUCUUUGUCCUCCAUCUAUGAAUAAAUUUCAAAUUUUCAAGUUAUUAAGUUAUUUAAGCAAUUGAUUUGGGUAAUUUCAUGUUUCACUAGUUUUAUGACACAAAAGUUUUACAGUUCACUGUCAUCUAUCAUUAAAUUUUUUCAUCCAGUCAUUUCUAACAUAAACGCAUGAUAGAAUAUUUUCUUGCUGAAUUCUCCUGUCAAGUUUGAAAAGUCAGUUCAAAGAGCUAUAGCUGGGAAAUGGGAGCAUAAUUUCUUAUAUAAAUUAUGACAGUUUAUUAGAAAUGUGGAAAUUUUAAUGUAUAAGCACCUUAUCUAAUAUCAUAUGCCUUUGUGCUGCCAAGAAAUAAUUAUCAGAGGAAAUAUUUUCCUUUAUAUUUUUCUAUUUUGUAUUCUUUGAACAAGUAUUGCAUGGACAGUUUACUCACUAGCUUAGAAAUAAAGUUUAUCAGAGCAACAGUGGAAGUUUGGACACUAAAAAGAAAGAAGAAUAUAACAAUUAAUGUUGGAAGCAGUGAAAGAAAAAUUAUUUGCCAAACAGAGGGCUCGAUCCACUGCACGAUAUAUUGAAUCUGAGUUGUUAAAAAAAUUGACCAUUUGUCACUUACUAACAAGAUCUAGCAGUUCUUUAAUUUUUCACAUGUGCCCAGUUUGUCUACAAGCUAACAGAUGACAAAUUAUCAUUGUGAUUAUAUAUUUUUAAAAUUACACGAGACAAAUAGUAUAUUGGAGAAGUUAGUUAAUUUAUACUGUCAGUAGAGUCACUAAUUUGAAGAAAAAAGUCAGUCUGAACCCAGUAAUUAUGUUUUAUACCUUAAGCCACAAACUCCAAUUUACAGAUAAUCCUGAAAAUAUUUUAAAAUUCUCUUUAAAAUCUAAAAUUUUGAAUAAAGUAAAAUAAAGAAACAAACAUAAAAUAGUUCCAAUUUUUCAGAGUAGGUGAAACUUGGAAACAGAUUUAACAAAACACUCACUAAAAACUAAGAACUGCUUCAGAAAGUGACGAGAAUGGUGGAAGAAAUAUGUUUAAAGGAAAGGAGAGAGUUUAAUGGGAAUUAAUGUUUAUGUGCUUUUUACAGUGAUAGUUUUACAAAUUUAAAUGUAUACCUUAUUUUUUUAUUAUAUUAUGUACACUAAAAUUAAUAAACAAUUUGAGGGAUCCACAGGGAAUAAUAAAAUGAAUUUUGUUUUUCAAUUAUAUUCAUUGGAUAUUUAUAUUCAAUUGUAUUCCUCUGUAGAGAUGUUAAAUGCAGAGCUACAACACAAUUUUCAAAAUUUUUUUGUUGAUUUUAUGAAUAAGACAAGUUAUCUUCACUAAACACAAAUAGCAAAAUCUUAAUAAUUCAAAGCAAAGCAAAUGUUUUCAAAUGCAAAGUUUUAAGUGAUAAAUCAAAAAAGGAUCAAAUUAUACUUUUAAUAAGAUAUUAACAAAACAUUAUUAAAUUUUUUGCCAAAAGUGAAACUUUUCUUUGAUCAUUGUCUGUAAAUCUUACCAUAUAUUUUAAAUAGCUACUGAAUAUUUCAUUGUAAUUAAAUGACAUUCUAGGUAGCAUGUUUUACUGAUUAGCAUGAAACGCACUCUAGAUUGAGAAAACUCCAUAUUCUUUUGAAUGACCUUAUAGCUUAUAACCUUUUGAUAUUUUUGGUUACUAGCCUAUUAUACAGUUUUAUAAACUUUAAUUAAAAAGUUGAGCAAUGCGUAGUCUUCCUUUGAUGGUGAAGAUACAUGAUAUACUAUACUACUUUGAUCACCUUUUAUCUAAAAUUCAAAAUUAUAACAUGAUUUUUGUAAGGAAAUUUCUCUCUCCUUUAUGCAUUCUUUUAACUGCAGCCAACAGUACAACACACAGAAACACACACAAGCCACACAUUUGCCAAGUAUGUCCUGCUAUUUUUUUUGUCUUCACAUUGUUAGCAUUUGUGUGUGUGUGUGUGUGUGUGUGUGUGUGUGUGUGUGUGUGUGUGUGUAUUUUACCAGGUGUCACUAGAGUAAAAUUAUAUGGAGAAUGUAUAAUUUGCUUGCAUUCACUUUUCUUCAUCUGUUCUUUUAAUGGAACAGUUCAUGGAUAUGACUGUGUAGUAAUUAAUGUGGAAAGAUACAAUAGAUUUACUGAUCUUCAGGAUAAUAUUGUCAACUCACUGACCUAUAAGCAAUGCAUUUAUUAUCAUCCCCAUGUUAAAGACUACUCUUAUAUUUCUGUUUUUCCCUUGGUUUGAAGUAGAGCGUCAGCAAUGUCUAAUGCAGGGAAAAGUCUAACAUAAAGCAACUUAUUUGGGAAUACUAGUUAUUGAUCUUGAGCUACUUAAACUGCCUCUGAAAUGUUAUAUCUCUUUUUCUCUAACCAGUGCCACAUACUUUUUUCUUUUUCUUUUUUUCUUUCUAGAGAAACAAGACAUUUGGUUAGAAAAAACAUUAAUUUUUAGAAUGUAAUAAUAUACGAUUACAAAAAUCUUCACUGCUAUCUACUAAUUUUGACUUUAUACUUGGAAAUAGUGUAGUUUUGCUUUGAAUUGAUAAUUUGGUUGAUUUUGACUUUAGAGUCUUUGAUUAUGGUGAGGAACAGAAUAUCAAAAUAUCAUACUUAAAUAAAUUUAGACUAUUUAAUGUGAUUGAAACCCUCUUUGAGUACACAGUUGACCAAUUUUCAAGGGUGCAGUAGUCUGUAUUUACCUGAAUUUUUACACCUAUAAAAUAAUUUAAUCAUUUGCAGUAACUAUAAACAGCAAAUAUAAUUUUUCUAAAUAUAAAAUAUCAUUAUAACAUACAGAAGUAAAUAUUAUAUUGCUAUAAAAAUACAAAAAUAUAUUUAUGAAUAUUUUGGGACCUAAAGUAUAACUUAUAAAGUCAUGGGAUGUUUAUGCAGGUUUUUACUUUGUAUAUAGUGUGUAUUCUUCAAAAAGAAUAGCAAAUUAUUGACCAGUUACAUAAAUUGUGCAAUCAAUGCAUAACUAUUAAUAAAAUAAUAUCAACUAUUCAACAAGGUCAAUUUUGUACUUUGUAGUAGGAAACCCAGAAGGUAAUAAUAAAUAUCACAAUGAAACAUCAUCAGUAGAAAAAUGUUAGAAAGUUUUAAAAUUCUACAUUUUUAAAUAUAUUCUAAGUAUAAAAUUUCAAUGAUAAAAAAUUUCUUGACAAAAAUGAAUCCAGAAUAACUGAAUAGAUAAAUGGACUCUUCAAUGGUAUAUAGACUGCAGUGUCCUCUGAUUAAAUGUAUGUGACAGCACCGAGUGUAGUUUGGUUAUUGCAUUUACUUUAAGAGUGCUGCCAGUUCUUACAAUAAUCACUAGUUUUGCAUUCUCAAAAAUGAACCCUGAAGAAUGACUACAGUGUUCGUCAUUUUGUUUUAUGGUACUCAUGGCCUUAUGGCAUUUGUUCUCCCUUCGGGAGUUUGAAGUUAGUAGAAAACAUUUAACAAGGAAUUGCAUCCAAGGUCCAUUAAAGGCACUAGAUUUUAUACUUUGCCCUUUUUUUCUUCAGCAUUCACACUUUGCCUAGCAUAUUUUUAGAGUUAGGAGAAAUUCAUGGAGAAUCAGCCUAAAAAUAUUUAUUUUAAUACUGUAAAAUUUAAAUGAACUUCCAGUCACUUCCCAAAUGUGUUACAGAAAAAUUUGGAUAAGACUGAAUCUACAAAACAAAAGAUUGAAGGGGGGAAGCAGAGAAAUCAAUAGUAAAAAAAUAACUAAUUGAGUCUUUUACAUGUAUCACCUCCUCAUGAUGAAUUUAAUCAUUUUAUAAAGACUUUGUGCAUACAUAUGCACAUUUGUAAAUAUACAAACACAUUAACUUGUUUGUAUUUAUCUUAAUUAACAAGAUAUUUUUGUAAUCAAUUUUAAUAAACUAUGUCUUAGAAAAACACAAAAAUUAAAUGAAAGUUACAAAUUCUUGAAAACUUUUCUCAUCAUAUUUAUACAAUCUUUAUACUAUUAAUAUGCCUCACCAGAGCAUUAUAUCUGUAGAUGUUUAUGAAACUAUGUAUAUAAACCAUUAUUACUAUAUCUACAACUUACUUUUGAAUUCAUUCUGGAAGUUGUAUAUUCUAAAGAUUAAGACAAUAUAUGACCAUAUACACUUCAUCAGAACUCAAUAUUUUAUCACCCUAAAUAUCCUUUGCUGGCUAAGUAUCCCUCUCCCUCAAGCUCUAAUCAUUUCUGAAAACCAUUAAUCAUUUUACUGUCCUUGCAGAUUUCAGUAUUCCACAAAGUCAUAGAGUUGGAAUUAGUAUGUUGACAUAUUUGUUUGAGUACUCCAGAGGAACAACAUAAGUAGAAAAUACAAACAUUUAUUCAAGAGGAUUUUUUUAGUAAGGUUACAGAAUGAGAAGCAGAAAAGUCCACAGUGAUUAUCUGUGUGAGGGAGAACUGGAAGAUACAGAAGUUGUUCAACCCAGGAUGAUGGACAAGAAGGAUCAAGGACACAGCACCAGUCCAAGAUCAAAAGCCUGGAAACUGACUAGCGUGACAUCUGUGUAAGUCUGCACUGGAAGGCUGAAGAAAGUAGAAACCGACAACCAAAGGUGAUGGGAAUCUUAGAGCUCUUCCAAACAUGUGACUAUAAGCAUUUUUAAAUGCAUGUUGUCAUUUAUCAUUGUGUUUGUUGAGACUUUUGCUCAAAUCUUUUGCCUAUUUUUGCAAUCAGAAUUUUUUUCUUACUGUUAUUAUAAAGGAGUGCUUGCACAUUUUGGAAUAUUGCUUUCAUUAGAGGUUUACUGAAGAAACAUUUUCUCUCAGUCUGUGGAGUUGUGGCUUCAUUUUCUUAUUGUUGUCUUUUGCAUGGCUGGAGCUUUCAGUUUUAAUAAAGUGAGUGUUUUCAACUAUUUUUUAAUAUCUUUGUUAUUAGAGAUAUCAUCAAAAAGUCACCUAGGCUUUCUUUUAGGUUAUCCUCCAUGAGUUUUACAGUUUUGAAGUCUAUUUUUAAGAACAUGGUCCACUUUGAGUUACUUUUUGUGAAGUUUAUAAAGUUUAUAUCUACAUUAAUUUGUUUUACAACCAGAUGUCCAGUAUUUUCAUGGUCAUUUAUUUAAGUCUACCUACUUUGUAUGUGUUUUACCAAUACACAGUUGAUUAUAUUUCUGUGUUGCUAUUUAUGGGCUCACUAUUGCAUUCAUUUAUCUCUUUGCUUAUUGUCUUGGUUACUUUUUACUCAUUGCUGAGACAAAAUAUCCCACAAAGUGGGAAAGGAAAGAUUUUUUUUUUACAGUUUUUGGUGGUUUCAGUCCAUACUCAGUUGGCUCCAAGGCAGGGUGGCAUGGCAUAGCCGCAGUUCAUGGAGGCUGCAAACAGCAAGGCUGAAACCAGCAAAAGAGCCUGACACACCGUCUUCCUGUCAUUACAUCACAUCCUGGCUCCACCCCUCUGUGGGUGGAGCACUCAGACCAUCAAUCCAAGCACUAGACGAUGAACCAAUCACAAAUGCACGAUGCAAACUCAUGAGGCCUGGGGGACACAACAUACACCAUGACACUUCCUCUUUCACCAGUAUCAUGUUAUUCUGAACACUUUUUCUUGAUAGUUACAUUUAAUUAUUAACAACUUUUUAAAUUUUUUUUUUAAAUUGUAAGUAGGCAGAUUAAAUCUCAAAUUGCUUCACCAACCCAUUAAAGUAUCUAAAAUUACCCGCAGCUUCUAUUAAAAUGCAUAUUUAUUUUGAGAAGACUCAUUGUAGAUUUAGUACUGUGCAUUGUAAAUAAGCACAGGAUGAUGGUUCCUAGAUCAUAUUUUUAAAAAUAAACCAAAAUAGCAAACUAACUUUGAGGCUGUUUAACCAGUGACUCUAGAAAAUGUUCUUCUCUAUUAUACACAUAUAUACUUUUUAAUAAAAAAGGAUAGUCUCUAAAACUUUUAAUAAAAUAAACACAUCAUCUCAAAUAAUCAUAUAUCUAUAUUUUUACUUGAUUUAAAACAUAUUAAUAUAUGUUUUAUAUAUAAAUGAUUCUUAACAGAUGAACAAAGCUCCUGUAGUCAGACUUUAUUUUGGAAGUCAUUGUGGUCAAAUAGCAUGUUCUUUGAUUUAAACAGUAUUUUAUUAAGCUUAUUUAAAUUUUAUGUAUAUAAAAUUGCUAUCAUUUUUAUGUAAGCCCUGGGAUAUCCUAAUAAUACAUUUUGUCUACUUGGUAAUAAUUUAUUGACGAGUAAAAAUUAUUACAAUAAUUUUUAGUAUAAUGAAAUAUUUGUCAACCUCUUGGGUUUCAUAGAUUUAGUAAAUCAUUUUCAGGAAUAUAUAAAACUUAUUAAAGUAAACACUAAAAGUAAGCAGUCUCAAUACAAAACUAGAAAGGAAGAAAAGAAACCUAGAAAAUGGAUUAGGAGGGUAAAGGUCUAGUUUUUAAUUUUAACUGGAAAAAUCAUAGAAAAUUAGAUUUAUAAAACUAUAUAGAAAUUUUACCAACUUAUUUCUUGCAUCUGAUUGCAUUAUUGUGUUUUCAAGAAACAUCAUUUUCAAAUUAACCUCCAUUAAAUCUCAAAGUAUCCACUUGUUUUCAGUGACUUCAUAGCUUUUCAUGUCCUCCAUUUUUUGUGUUUGAGUGUUGUAAACUAUGAUGAAUUGGAAAAGAUUGAUUUCACUGCACAUUAGAUAUUACUUGACUAAAAAAAUUAUAUGUAAUUAGGAUGUUUAAUGUAGCUGUUUUCAAAUGGUUGGUAGAUGUAGUUCCCUUCAUCAGAAUGAUUAAACUUGCUUCUUCAGAAAAAAGAUGUAGAGAGACGGCGACAUGAACUACAAAAGCUACUCACAGAAAUAAUCCAGAAGAAUUUUCCUAAUUUAGCAAAAGGUAAAGAUACUCAGAUGUAUGAAGCAUUCAGGACCCCAGCCACCUACAACCCAAACAGAGCUACACCCAGGCAUAUAAUAAUCAAAAUACCAGAAAUCCAAUAUAAGAACAGAAUAUUAAAAGCUGUCAGAGACAAGAAACAGAUCACUUACAAGGGUACACCCAUCAGAAUUACAUCAGAUUUCUCGGCACAAACCAUCAAAUCACGAAGAGUGUGGGGGGAAAUAAUUCAAGCUUUGAAAGAUAAUAACCUCCAGCCAAGAUUGAAAUGUCCUGCACAACUAUCCCUGGAAAUUGAUGGAAAAACAAGGUGCUUCCAGGAUAAAGAGGAACUAGGGGAAUAUGCAACCACCAAUCCAACUUUACAGAGAAUACUUCAGGAUAUUCUAAAAAAGGAAAA
RNA transcript from Cavia porcellus (domestic guinea pig), 13475 nucleotides. It is a transcript of the gene named histone H1.8-like, with no coding region annotated. The transcript has 10 exons. The record is from RefSeq and is a predicted model, not a curated record. Lineage: Eukaryota; Metazoa; Chordata; Mammalia; Rodentia; Caviidae.